UACGUAGGGUGCAAGCGUUGUCCGGAAUUAUUGGGCGUAAAGAGCUCGUAGGUGGCCUGUCGCGUCGGCUGUGAAAACUCGGGGCUCAACUCCGAGCCUGCAGUCGAUACGGGCAGGCUAGAGUUCGGCAGGGGAGACUGGAAUUCCUGGUGUAGCGGUGAAAUGCGCAGAUAUCAGGAGGAACACCGGUGGCGAAGGCGGGUCUCUGGGCCGAUACUGACACUGAGGAGCGAAAGCGUGGGGAGCGAACAGG
Molecule: ribosomal RNA, 253 nt
Filed under: uncultured bacterium
Lineage: Bacteria
Description: partial 16S ribosomal RNA
Rfam family: Bacterial small subunit ribosomal RNA
Source: RNAcentral